CAGUCGCCGCGGUAAUACGAAGGGUGCAAGCGUUAAUCGGAAUUACUGGGCGUAAAGCGUGCGUAGGCGGUUUGUUAAGUCUGUUGUGAAAUCCCCGGGCUCAACCUGGGAAUGGCAAUGGAUACUGGCAAGCUAGAGUGUGUCAGAGGAUGGUGGAAUUCCCGGUGUAGCGGUGAAAUGCGUAGAGAUCGGGAGGAACAUCAGUGGCGAAGGCGGCCAUCUGGGACAACACUGACGCUGAGGUAUGAAAGCGUGGGGAGCAAACAGGAUUAGAUACCCCAGUAGUCCCUGUCUCUUAUAC
Molecule: ribosomal RNA, 301 nt
Filed under: uncultured bacterium
Lineage: Bacteria
Description: partial 16S ribosomal RNA
Rfam family: Bacterial small subunit ribosomal RNA
Source: RNAcentral